GGCACCCAGAUAAACGGUAGCCACCAGCAUGAUGGGUACCAUCCAUUGAAGUAAUUGCUGAUCAGUCAAUUUCAAUUUGUGCGCAGAUUUCACUCGAUAAAAACAGCAACGGAAAAGAGGGAGAGAGAGUCGACCUAAUUUGUGCACGUGUACUCUAAUCCUAUUCAGUGCAUAUCAAAUUAAACAAAUCUAGAGAGUUUUUGUUAACUUACCUCCAUGUUUUCAUUAAAAGAGAACUGAAAGUGAUGCAAAACCCCAUAUGACGAGUCCACUUGGUGGCAACGCAUGCUGGCGUGUUCAGUUCAGGAAAAAUGGCCGCCAUCUGGAAGAAAGAAAACAAAAGACGGAGGGGAUAUUAAAAGAGAUGGAUUGAUUUAAUUCGAAAACAACAAUCUCAACAAGAUGAAUGAGUUGGAAGAAUUGUGGCACAAGAGAGAAGGGGCCUUUGUUUUUCGGAAUAUUGAAUUACUUGUUACCUCUGCGUACAUAAUGGCGCAGCCGAGCAGUGUGACACACAGAAAUGUAGGGCUGGCCACCUUGAAGACUUUGAGGCGUCGAUACUUGUAAACGGCGCCCAUUAGACCGAUGGAAAUCAAGACCCAAGACAUGGAAAUGGCCAAUAAAGCGAUCCUGUUAUCAAUGCCACGCAGAAAUGAACAAAAUUAAUUCGGUUACUACACGAAAAGAAAGGAAGUUUCAAUGCGGAAGAAACUUGUUUUCUAGUGACGAUACAGGACACGCACGUAUGCCAACGAAGUUGAAUAACGAGUUUUUUCAUCUGAAUGUGCAGAAUGUCUAAACUGCUGGUACGCGAUAUGUAUUCAAGUUUUUCGUGCAUAAUUCAAAGUUUGGCUAAAAAUGGUAUGUCUCUUUUUACAUGCACCGACAUUGACGAGAGCCAUUUCAAAAGGCAUUCCCCUCUAUGUUCAUCUUCAGAUGUUCUUUCGACCCCCAAGAACGAACAAGGUGAAAAUGAGGAGAAGAAAACAAGGGCGGAUACCUUUAAAAAUCACGCACGCCAUCGAAUGAUGGCACAUAUAGCCAUCGUGGAUGGUGUGCGUGACUCAAUGCACGUACCUCAUAAUAUUAGCCACAAAACUUUAACACAACUGUUCAUUUCUCUUGUGUAACUGAUUGUUUUCUCCCUCAGCUGAAGAGGAGAAACGAGUUCCCCAUCUUUUUCUGACUUAUUGGCAGAGGUGCGUCUGUUCCCCGCACGCAGCCAACACAGCACGUGUCCGUGUCUGGAAUCUUAACCUCUAACGAUUGUGUCAAAGUCAUUAGCUGCACCUGGUGGUCGUAUUACAGUACGCCGAUGACAAACAAACUGAUGUCAAUAAUGUCAAGAGGAUUCAAACCUAAAGGGCCAGUCGUAAGGCGCCAAACAUGGCGAAUCAUCGACGCAGACGUCGCAUCCAGCGGAGCAUGGAAGACAUCGGUACAAUUGGUCGUACACUGGGCUGUUGAAGGUCAACUUAUUCCGAAAGGCCACUACGUAUGUAGUGAAGGUAUUUUACAUUCGACGUGGGAUCCGUUGAAAGUGGCAUUUUUCAAAAACGGCGAAUAAUAUCCGGGUAAGCAGGUGCAAGUGUAACCACCUCGUAUCCAGCCGUAACCUCUCUCGAAUCGGCACUACAUAUUCAUCAAUCAAUUAGCUGUUGUCUCAACCGACGACGGCCCGUCGCCGCAUUGGUUGAUGUCCAUCGACGAAACGGACACGUCUACGGAAAUGCGAUUGGACAAAGAAAAUCAUUUCAAGUUUUUCGUUUUCAAACCGGUCGGCAGCUGUGGAAGACGUGGGAGAAACGCUGGUGACCGGAAUGGUGUACGUGAGCAACCAGCGGCGACUGGAACACUGGUAAUACGGAAACGUCCACCAUCCGAGAAAGGUGACAUUCGACGAAUUGAUCAUGAACUUGUUCCAGUUGGCUAGAAAACCUUUCGCCGCUUGCGGAGUCGAACGGAAGGGAUCGUCGAACCACGGCAGAUCGUUCAGCGCCGUGUUGCCCAGCAACACGCUGCCGGAACUGGUGGAUGUCGCCUUUGGCAGCGUUGUCGACUAUGGAUAAGAACGGGCGACCACGGACCUGUUGUUGAAUGGAAGCGUUGAUGGAUGCCGACUGCUGGAUGUAAUCGACUUUGACGGAUGGGUCGGCGUAAGGAGAAGCUGGACGAGUCGCGUGGGCCAUAAAGAGGAGAUUGACGAUAUUGCCUUGUUCGCGAAUGAGACCGUUUGAUUGCGAUGAUGAAGCCGAUGAUGCGAGUGCUGUUGGCUUAGUGAAUGUGACCAUACGUGAAGUUUCGAUUGUCCGCUCGCUCCGCACGGCGCUCGUAAUCAGCAACUUGAGCAAUUCUGAAUAACGGCGGGAGACGCGCAAUUAGUCAAACAACAGCUACUAUGCAAAUUAUGUGGACGCUAAUGCGUUGCGACAUUUUCUUCGCAUGCCGUAAAAGGGUAAGCUUAGCAAAUCGAAUGGUACCUUAUCAAUGACCUACAUUUUCAAUUUUAAAACAAAACCAAGAAAUAAGGCCGGAACGUCGCAGAAUGACCUUCACCAACAUUCAUAUAUUAAAUCGAGUCCAACGUAAACGUCAUUUCGAAAUCACCUUUGGACUUUUCCACAGAAAAAAACAAAAAUACCCUUAAAAUAUGCAGCCAACCGGUUUUCCGUUUGUCUUGGACAGUAAAAAAAAACGAACAAUAGUGUACCGUAUCAGAUGACGUUAAGUUUCCAGUAAUAUG
Molecule: long non-coding RNA, 2743 nt
Organism: Daphnia magna
Lineage: Eukaryota; Metazoa; Arthropoda; Branchiopoda; Diplostraca; Daphniidae
Exons: 7
Source: RefSeq, a predicted model, not a curated record